This 468-nucleotide ribosomal RNA is filed under the name uncultured bacterium. RNAcentral describes it as "partial 16S ribosomal RNA". It matches the Rfam family "Bacterial small subunit ribosomal RNA", at positions 28 to 507 of the family's 1533-position model. The record is from RNAcentral.
GACGAACGCUGGCGGCGUGCUUAACACAUGCAAGUCGAACGGAAAGGCCCUGCUUUUGUGGGUUGCUCGAGUGGCGAACGGGUGAGUAACACGUGAGUAACCUGCCCCUGACUUUGGGAUAACUUCAGGAAACUGGGGCUAAUACCGGAUAGGAGCUCCUGCUGCAUGGUGGGGGUUGGAAAGUUUCGGCGGUUGGGGAUGGACUCGCGGCUUAUCAGCUUGUUGGUGGGGUAGUGGCUGACCAAGGCUUUGACGGGUAGCCGGCCUGGGAGGGGGACCGGCCACAUGGGGACUAAGGUAGGGACCAGACUCCAACGGGAGGCAGCAGUGGGAAAUAUUGCACAAUGGGCGGAAGCCUGAUGCAGAAACGCCGCGUGCGGGAUGACGGCCUUCGGGUUGUAAACCGCUUUCGCAGGUGACGAAGCGUGAGUGACGGUAAUGGGUAAAGAAGCACCGGCUAACUACGUG